This 253-nucleotide ribosomal RNA is filed under the name uncultured bacterium. RNAcentral describes it as "partial 16S ribosomal RNA". It matches the Rfam family "Bacterial small subunit ribosomal RNA", at positions 524 to 776 of the family's 1533-position model. The record is from RNAcentral.
GACAGAGGUGCCGAGCGUUAGGCGGAAUCACUGGGCUUAAAGCGUGUGUAGGCGGGAUCGUAAGUACCUUGUGAAAUCCCACGGCUCAACCCCGGAACUGCUUUCGAAACUGCUGAGCUAGAGUACAGAAGGGGCAACCGGAAUUCCCAGUGUAGCGGUGAAAUGCGUAGAUAUUGGGAAGAACACCUGAGGCGAAGGCGGGUUGCUGGGCUGAUACUGACGCUGAGGAGCGAAAGCCAGGGGAGCAAACGGG